GCUUACUACUUUGUUGUUUAUUUGCAUGUAGAACUAAGCAACCCAUAUAUCAGCAUCCUUCUAGGAUUUACAAUUUCAGAAGUCCUCUGCAUUAAGCUCUUGCAAACUUAUGGGGUUCAGAUACAUCAUUCUAUUAGAGUCUUGUAUUGUCAUACAUUUUUAUGUUUAAACUCCAUAUAAGCCAUUUCUUCCCUUUAUUUUAUAGGAUCAGCUGAGUCUUGACACCUAAAUUUACAUUUAUAUCAAUCUAUAUUAUAUUACAUGUCUCAUAUACCAAUUCAGUUUUUGUUUUUAAGUUGCUUUUACUAUUUUUUUGUCAUUAUAACACUUUAAAAUCUCUAAAAGUACUGCAACAUGAUAGUGUUCGAAACAUCGAGAUGAAAUUUAAGGGGCAAUAUGAACAGAAUACUCAGUUUAGUUUUUCAAUCUUAUUCUUGAUUCAAGACUAUGUUCAUCUGAUAUUCAACUUCCAUGUCCAGUCUUUCCUGUAAUUAUCGACUCAAGAUCAUCUCAUAAGUUGAAUUAUUUUACUGACGUCACAGUUAAAGAAUCACAAAGAAAAUUCAAAGAUUAGAAGAUCCAUAACUUUAGAUCAUUAAGCUGAAUUAUUCUUUGUCAUGCAUUUUGCUAUGCAUGGUACAUAUCAACAUUGUUGUAUAUUUUUCCUUGUUCAGUAAUUGACCACUGUUAUGAUUGUAAGAUACCUUGCCUAAUUUAUCUACCAAAGUCACGAAUGACUUUAAAAGUUAAAAGAGAAAAGGCAGAAUUGUAAAGCUCAAAUUGUUGUAACUAUUUAAGUAGUUAAAAGUAAAAGACUCCUGGGCCAAAAUAAAAUGAUUUGUGGAUUAUAUUAUAAGUAAGCUAUCAUUUGUGUGAGUAUUUUUAUUUGAAAUAAGUAAUCAAAGUUUGUAGUUUGGUAACAGGUGUAAGGAAACAUGGUAGUUCAUUAUGAGUUCUGCAUUAUUAUACAACACAUUACACUUUUUUUGUACACUUGAUACCUUCUUAGUUGUAACAUUAUCUCAAGAUAAAAGCUUGAAGGAAUUAUUGGAUGAAAGAUGUUCACCUUGUAUAGGAACAUCAUAUCCUUAUUUAUGUGGACUCUUCAUUCUUUUUAAAGUGCUUUCUUUCUGUAUAAAUUGGCUGCGUUUUAUUUUCCUGUUACUAGCACAAGCUCUCUGUUUUGUAUGCUUGAUUCUUGAUUACUGGUUUGAGUUUAAAUGGGUAUUUGCUUCAGGUGUAUGAGAAGCUUCUUGGGAGCCAAUGCUUUAAAUGCUUGUGGUGAUUUCAUGAAAUGCAGAGAAUGAAAUUCUUGAAUAUAUUAUAUGGACUACUGAAAAUUUGUUGCUGGUUCACUUCAUCUGUCUCUGUGUUGCCUUCUAGUUUCUUUUAAGGAUCUUGAUAUUAUAUUAUUUGCUUGUAGAACUUAUUUUAAAGCAUUCUAGAGCUUUUCUGGUAAACAUAUUAAUGGUGUCAUAUGCGUACUUACUAUACAUAAUGACUAUUGUAAUGCAUGUUGGUGAAUUGGAUUGCUUACUUAUUUAUAAUGGUUAUAUUUGAUAAUGGUUGAAGCGUGUCUAUGAGUUUGAUUUGCUAUUUUGUAUUGGAAUGAAAGAUAAUUAAAAAGUGGGGAUCUAUUUUUGAACCUUGUUUGCUUUAAUCUACUAAUUGCUUACAAAAAUAGAAGAAGCUCUAUUCUAUUUUUGUUUUUUUUUUUCCUAUAAGCUAAUUUUUAGUUUUGUACCUCUAUUGUUAGUGGUCUUGGAAUUCAGCGAUAGCAGAUACUCUGUUUAGCAGUGGAAUUUUCUCUUCGUUCUCUUAGCUUAUUGUUUCUCUUUUGUGUUUUUUGAUGGUUUAACACAAUGCUAUCUUUUGGGCUAUUAGCUUUCUGAUCUGAACAACACAAAAGAACAAUUUCUAUCAAAUAUUACUUGAUGUAAAUACUAUGCUUUAAUUUAUCUUUGACUUCUAUCACUUUGUUUAGUUUAUGAUUGGUCUAUUUUUCAAAAUAAAAUAAUUUACCAAGUAAACAAUAGACUUUAUAGCAUGUAAUUAUUGAGACUAGUAUGAAUAGAACUGAUUUUUUAUUAGAGAGCUAGCCUUAUUUUUUUAAUUUGUAAAUAUGAUUUUGUUUUUCAGCAUUUGGGUUAGCAUUUAUAACUUGAAUUUCAAAUUGGAAGGUCACUUUUGUUUUAAUACUAUGAAAAUUUCAGGGUCAUGUAUAGUUUCUCCUUGAAAUUAACAUGAUUUUACUUCUCAUUAUAUAGUUUCUCCUUUAUUUUUCUUGAUUUUACCUAACUGAGGACAUUGAGACAUACAGAGUUUCUUGAAUCAUGGGGUGAAAACAUAUUCAAAGAUAAAUGGUGGGUGUUUCAAGGUGUGUAGAGUUUCUACUUCUAUUUUUGUUGUUAUUGAAUUUUCGGAGCUUGUUUUCCUUGGUCAAAAUUAAAUUUUUAUUUUAGCAAGAAUGAAAAAGAUAAAAUAUACUGUAGUUGUUGCAUCACUUUAUGUCUUAAUCAAUUGUUAGUAACUUGAUCUUGGGAAUUGGUAGUUUGGUUUGUUGGCUGGAAUUUCAUUGCAUUAGAAAGCUUUAAGGAGUUUAGUUGAUACAAGAGGAAUUGUACAUUUGUGUCUUGAAACUUGAAAAGCUUGAAAAGCAGGAAAACCUCGCUGAACCCAUUAUUUUCAUGUUGCUGGAAUUAAAUCAAUACUUAGAGUUCUCAACUGUAACUUUAAUGAAGUUUAUUUGGAAAAAAAAGAUGAAUUUUUUAGCUGCUGUUUUCAAUUUUGAUCCAUAGUACAAAUUGCAAUCUAUGAAGUAAGAUUCUUCUUCUUGAUUGAGGAGCCUUAUUGUUUUGGUGUGGUAAUUAUGUUGUUAUGCAUUGCUAUUUUUGAAUUUUACCUUUUGCUGGUGAUGAUGGCUUUGUAUUUAUACAACGUGGAGGUCAGACUGUCUCUAAGAUUACUUUAGCAAUUGUCUCUAUUGUUUGGUUAGUUGCUGGAGUUUUCCUUUUCAUUUCUUUGCAAACCAUUCCUGGCUUUGGUUGAUUAACAUUUUUAAGUAAGAUUCAUUCUUUAGUUAUCUUUUCUUUUGUUCUGAAUUUUGAGUUUCAAACAAUUCAGUUCGAUUAAAAAACAUUGGAAAGCUAGAUGAUAAAAGCAUUUGUUUGCUUCGAUUUAUUGGCUUAAUCGCUUUAUCAUAAUUAGCUUUAGGUUUCUAAAUUCCAUUUGCUAUGAAAUAUAUUAUUGAUUCACUUUCUGACUUGGAACUGAUUCUUUUCGUUUUUAGCUCAAUCCAAGUCUUUAUGACAGUCAUCAAAUAUAUUCCUCACGUUAGAAAUGCCUCAUUUUUUUUUUCCCCAUUAGAAAAAAUAUCAAUUGUUUUAAAUAUAAUCUUAUGUAACAUCAGUGAUGAAAUAAUUUAGCUAUCCAAAAGGUUUUCUUUUUCCUUUCUUAUUACUGUAUGAGUAGAGAAUUAGAGACAGUAUUACUAUGUUGUCAACAAUUUUUCUAUAUCCUUUGCCCCUAUAAGUUAUUUUGAUGGUUUCUUUCAGGAGACUGCUCAUGAGACAGUAAUACUAUGUUGUACUUUAUGCAUGCUUUAUGUUUUUGAAGUAAUGUGGCGCCUGCAUAAUAGUUUCUUAUUCCCAGUUUUUGUUUCUUAAUAUUUGAGUUGUUUAAAAUAUGGUUUGAGUUGCUCCUUUUUGGGCCAGUGUUUUUUCUCAUUAGUUUUUGUUUUAGUGUGUUUAUGUCUCAUCCCAUUACACUCAGUUUAGCUCUUUUUUCUCUGUCCUGGACUAGUUACAUUUGUUGAGUUCAUGCAAAAAAAAUUCAAAUUUCAUAGCUGCAACUAUUCUGUGAAAAAGUGAUUGUUAAUCAAAAUAUCCAUAUUUUGGUGCACGUAAAUAAGUAAACCUUGCAUCAUUAUUUAUGUACAUAGAUUUAGAGAGAACUAAGAGAAAAAGAAGAGAGAAAGAGAGAGUUUAGUGAGUUAUAGAGGUUGGAGUUCUUGUGAGAAGCUUGUUCAAAGAAAGCUAAAACUGAGAACUUUUCUCUUUGUACUAAAGCCUUGUAAUUAUUCUAGAUUGAUCAUAGUGAAAACUCACGUAGGCCAAUUCCACUGAACCAUGUAUAUUGUGGUGUUCUUUUGACUACUGUUUCUAUCAUUCGUUAAAGUUUGUGAUUUGUUUAUGUUUCUGGCAUUAUUUCUUGUUUGUGUUUGUUCUUUUUUCUGGUACGUUUUGUUGGUGUUCUUGGCAGGUUAUUAAAGGGUUCAAUCACUUUCAAUAUCAUCCUCUAGGUAGGUUUCUUCUCAUUUUUCCUUAAUUGAUGUCCAAGAGAUGGGUGCAAUAGUCUCAAGUUUUAAUGCUUUUGAAAAUAAGGAAGCAGGCCCACUAAUUCUAACAUGGGUAGUGUUUCUUUGUCUAAUUUCAUUACUUCCAGGAAAAGAAGAAAACAAUGUUCUAAUGGUAUGCAUUUCAGUUUGGCUUUUUCUUUUCCCCCCUGCACUAUACUGUUACGGUAUUUAAUUAUCGGGGAGAGGUUUGGCUGCAUAAUGAUUGUCUUUCAGGGUCAUUUAUUGAUUAUUUUGUUGAUUUUUCAUUGGUGGUUCUAUUAAAGUUGACAUUUUUCUUUUCUUUCGUAGUUUUUUGAUUGGAUUUAUUGCUUUAAAAUUUUCAGGAAUCACUUUGCAGUCAGUUUUGGGACAGAGAAAGUUUUGUUGAUGGUCCUAUUCGGUGUUUUCUUUGUAACCUAGAAGGUGAAUUUCCCUUCAGGACUGUGGAACUUAUUCGCCUCUUAUCAUCCCUAUCUGAAGGAACUUGGCCAACAAAAUGUGUGAGAAAAAUGUCUCUUUCUCCAUCAAUUGGAGGAGAAAAUGAUACUUAAUUUUGAAGGCUUUGUGUUGGGCAUCUGUAGAAUAUUUUGUGCUGAAAGUAGUAACUUUUCAAUAUGUUGAAUAUUUAAGACUACUUGAAUACUUAAAGAACAUUUUGUUGUUGAUGACAGUGUUGAAUGUUUUAAACUAAUUUGUGGAUUGUUAAUACAAUGUUGAAUGUUUUUACUUUU
Molecule: RNA transcript, 5067 nt
Organism: Humulus lupulus (European hop)
Lineage: Eukaryota; Viridiplantae; Streptophyta; Magnoliopsida; Rosales; Cannabaceae
Gene name: ABC transporter C family member 2-like
Exons: 3
Source: RefSeq, a predicted model, not a curated record